AUAAUUGAUUGAUGAGCGAUCAAGAAGGCUCAUGGUGUGGGCUAGCGACCUCCAUUGAACUUUGGAGGAAUGUCCACUUAAGGUCAAGUUAAAUGGUCGAAUCUAUAUCAUAAUUUGUGACAAUAGAGACAUUGUGUUUUCACGACCCCUAU
Molecule: small nuclear RNA, 152 nt
Filed under: Solanum tuberosum (potato)
Lineage: Eukaryota; Viridiplantae; Streptophyta; Magnoliopsida; Solanales; Solanaceae
Description: snRNA U1
Rfam family: U1 spliceosomal RNA
About the family: U1 is a small nuclear RNA (snRNA) component of the spliceosome (involved in pre-mRNA splicing).
Source: RNAcentral